Molecule: long non-coding RNA, 1599 nt
Organism: Leptopilina boulardi
Lineage: Eukaryota; Metazoa; Arthropoda; Insecta; Hymenoptera; Figitidae
Exons: 6
Source: RefSeq, a predicted model, not a curated record
GGCACUCUGAGCGCUCUGAGAGCUGGAAAAGGUUCUCAACCACAUUUUAUUAUUUUUGUGUAUUUAACUUGUGAAUGCGGCUUAAGAUAUUUUACCUAACCUAAUCCAAUUUUCUCAUUACGCUUUCAUUCUUUCAAGACCGGUGAAGACCACGCUGUUGCACACGUGCAUCAUGGAGAAAAAAAUUAUUUUAAAUGGGUUAAUUUUAAAUAACAAUAAAACAUUAAUAAAAGAUAAUGGUCGCAUUUUAUGCGACAUAACGAACGUUGAUACAAAUGAAAAUUCAUACAUGUACAUAGAGGAAAGUACCUUGCUUCAAUGGCAACAAUUGGAGGGCGAAUUUGCUGAUAAAAAAAAGAGAAAAUUGAAGAUUCAUCUGUUGUCAAAGAACCUGCAUUAGGACAACCAUCGGUACGCUCUGGUUCUGACAAGUCUGUCAACACGGAAAAACAAUUUCCCAAUCCAGGAGGCAGUCAAUCCACCAUGGCUGAAUUCGACUUUGCACUUGGUGGACAACAUCCAUUGGAGAAACACAAUCCUUCCUCAUCGUACUCCAGCUCUGGCCGGCAAGUUACUCACAACGAGAGGACUCGAACCUGACGGCGAAGACAAUACUACUGAUAGUGACAGUGAUGGCAACGAAAAUGAUAUAUCAAAAAGUACGCGACCGAUCGCGAAGAAGCAAAAAACAAACCCGGGAGAUUUCAAAUGGGAAGUCGAUUGGAUCUACUCGCUCGUGGGAUCUUAUAAGGAUAUUAUGGCGGAGAAAGGAAGUAACAAGGACUUCAAAAUACAAGUGUAUCGAAGAAUUUCGACUAUGUUCGAAGAUAAUGGAAUAAAAAUAUCUCCACAGCAAUGUGAAUCAAAAAUGAAAGCACUUCAGGAAAAAUAUAAAUCUGAACUUGGCAAAAAAAACAAAACCGGUCGAGGUCGGAAGGAUGAAUGGCCAUUUUUUGAAAUAAUGAAUGACCUUAUGUUCGACAAACCUCAAAUAACCCCACAAUCAGUAUCGUUAAACUGAAGGGGUACAGAAUUAAAAAGAAGUCAUGUAAAACCAAAGAGAAGGAGAAGGGAGAUACCUCCAGUGAUGAUGACGAUUUUGAAGAAGAGAAAAUGAGAAGAAGAAGAAAACCCAAAGAAAGUGCAGCUCAUCAAGUUGUUCAUUUGCUGCAAGAAAAAAACAGGCAGAGCAGCGCGUUUCAGAAUAGAGUGGCAAUUGCUCUGGAAAAUUUCCUCGAAAGUAUGAAAGAACAAAAAAAGGAAUAAGUAAAUAUUUGCUUAUUUAAUUUAUUUUUAACUUUGUCAAUGUAAAGUUCUGUGAUUAAUAAGUAUUAUUAUAAUUUAUUUAUAAAUUUUGGAAAUUUUUUUGACAAUGUCCACACAUGUAAGUGGUGGUCAAUAAAAUUUCCAAAAUUCCAAAAUGUGAUGAACGUUAAGUGUUCCAUAUAAUUUAUUGUCAAAAUCUAUGGCUGUGUACAUUUUAUUUAGUAUAAUUGUUACCAAUUAAAAUGUAAAUGGGUCACAACGCUGUAAAUCAUCUGAAAGUGGUUGCUGACAUAUUUUAAAAAAGUCUAGUUUUAAUAUUAUGUAAAACUAGAU